Molecule: ribosomal RNA, 465 nt
Filed under: Vreelandella stevensii
Lineage: Bacteria; Pseudomonadati; Pseudomonadota; Gammaproteobacteria; Oceanospirillales; Halomonadaceae
Description: partial 16S ribosomal RNA
Rfam family: Bacterial small subunit ribosomal RNA
Source: RNAcentral
CCUACGGGUGGCUGCAGUGGGGAAUAUUGGACAAUGGGCGAAAGCCUGAUCCAGCCAUGCCGCGUGUGUGAAGAAGGCCUUCGGGUUGUAAAGCACUUUCAGUGGGGAAGAAAGCCUUGGGGCUAAUACCCUCGAGGAAGGACAUCACCCACAGAAGAAGCACCGGCUAACUCCGUGCCAGCAGCCGCGGUAAUACGGAGGGUGCGAGCGUUAAUCGGAAUUACUGGGCGUAAAGCGCGCGUAGGCGGUCUGAUAAGCCGGUUGUGAAAGCCCCGGACUCAACCUGGGAACGGCAUCCGGAACUGUCAGGCUAGAGUGCAGGAGAGGAAGGUAGAAUUCCCGGUGUAGCGGUGAAAUGCGUAGAGAUCGGGAGGAAUACCAGUGGCGAAGGCGGCCUUCUGGACUGACACUGACGCUGAGGUGCGAAAGCGUGGGUAGCAAACAGGAUUAGAUACCCCAGUAGUC